This 255-nucleotide ribosomal RNA is filed under the name Salmonella enterica subsp. enterica serovar Senftenberg. Its description in RNAcentral is "partial 23S ribosomal RNA". It matches the Rfam family "Bacterial large subunit ribosomal RNA", at positions 1436 to 1693 of the family's 2925-position model. RNAcentral also lists the same sequence under 3 other names. Lineage: Bacteria; Pseudomonadati; Pseudomonadota; Gammaproteobacteria; Enterobacterales; Enterobacteriaceae. The record is from RNAcentral.
UUCCCGUACUUGGUGUUACUGCGAAGGGGGGACGGAGAAGGCUAUGUUGGCCGGGCGACGGUUGUCCCGGUUUAAGCGUGUAGGCUGGUUUUCCAGGCAAAUCCGGAAAAUCAAGGCUGAGGCGUGAUGACGAGGCACUACGGUGCUGAAGCAACAAAUGCCCUGCUUCCAGGAAAAGCCUCUAAGCAUCAGGUAACAUCAAAUCGUACCCCAAACCGACACAGGUGGUCAGGUAGAGAAUACCAAGGCGCUUGA